AUUGAACGCUGGCGGCAUGCUUUACACAUGCAAGUCGAACGGUAACAGGCCUUCGGGUGCUGACGAGUGGCGAACGGGCGAGUAAUGCAUCGGAACGUGCCCAGAGGUGGGGGAUAACGCAGCGAAAGCUGUGCUAAUACCGCAUGUGAUCUGAGGAUGAAAGCGGGGGACCAAGCAGCAAUGUUUGGCCUCGCGCCUCUGGAGCGGCCGAUGUCAGAUUAGGUAGUUGGUGGGGUAAAGGCCUACCAAGCCGACGAUCUGUAGCUGGUCUGAGAGGACGACCAGCCACACGGGGACUGAGACACGGCCCAGACUCCUACGGGAGGCAGCAGUGGGGAAUGUUGGACAAUGGGCGGAAGCCUGAUCCAGCAAUGCCGCGUGCGGGAAGAAGGCCUUCGGGUUGUAAACCGCUUUUGUACGGAACGAAAAGGCUCUGGCUAAUACCUGGGGCUGAUGACGGUACCGUAAGAAUAAGCACCGGCUAACUACGUG
RNAcentral lists this ribosomal RNA (492 nucleotides) under uncultured bacterium. RNAcentral describes it as "partial 16S ribosomal RNA". It matches the Rfam family "Bacterial small subunit ribosomal RNA", at positions 29 to 507 of the family's 1533-position model. The record is from RNAcentral.